GAUGAACGCUGGCGGCGUGCCUAAUACAUGCAAGUCGAGCGAACGGACGAGAAGCUUGCUUCUCUGAUGUUAGCGGCGGACGGGUGAGUAACACGUGGAUAACCUACCUAUAAGACUGGGAUAACUUCGGGAAACCGGAGCUAAUACCGGAUAAUAUUUUGAACCGCAUGGUUCAAAAGUGAAAGACGGUCUUGCUGUCACUUAUAGAUGGAUCCGCGCUGCAUUAGCUAGUUGGUAAGGUAACGGCUUACCAAGGCAACGAUGCAUAGCCGACCUGAGAGGGUGAUCGGCCACACUGGAACUGAGACACGGUCCAGACUCCUACGGGAGGCAGCAGUGGGGAAUCUUGGGCAAUGGGCGAAAGCCUGACGGAGCCAUGCCGCGUGAGUGAUGAAGGUCUUCGGAUCGUAAAACUCUGUUAGUAGGGAAGAAGAUAUGUGUAAGUAACUGUGGCUAUCUUGACGUUACCAAAAGAGAAAGCCCCGGCUAACUUCGUG
This 497-nucleotide ribosomal RNA is filed under the name uncultured bacterium. Its description in RNAcentral is "partial 16S ribosomal RNA". It matches the Rfam family "Bacterial small subunit ribosomal RNA", at positions 28 to 507 of the family's 1533-position model. The record is from RNAcentral.